Megalobrama amblycephala (Wuchang bream) is the source of this 1076-nucleotide long non-coding RNA. RefSeq lists it as uncharacterized. The record is from RefSeq and is a predicted model, not a curated record. The transcript is spliced from 3 exons. NCBI's taxonomy places the organism in Eukaryota, Metazoa, Chordata, Actinopteri, Cypriniformes, Xenocyprididae.
CAGAAAACAAUAACACAAAACAAGUUAAUAAGUUUCCAAGCACUUUACCUAAUGUGUUAAAGCAGAUCAUGAAACAAUAUACGGAGCACAUAUAUAUUUAUACAUAUAUGGAGCAUUUGUCUGAAAGACAAAACCAAAAUUUUCUUUUAGCCAAACCCAUUUCAAACAAGGUUAUCUUAUUAUAUUAGUGUUACCUUAUAGAUAAUACCUUAUAAUGCCUUGAGAUGUCUCUUAACCUUUUAAGACCUGAAGGUUUUUUAGAGUUUUUUUUUUUCUGAGCGACACACAAAAAAGUAAAGACUCAUUACUCCGUAACUGUAGCAAGGAGAGUCAAAAGGUAGGUAUCAUUUGGUAGAACACUUUUUAGAAAAUAUAAAUUACAUUACAUUUGGACAUUUUCAGGCUGAAAAACUGCUGACAAAAGACAAACACUGCAUGAAAAGAGCUGUAUCCGGACAAAUAUGGGAUGGGAAAUCCUUGCUAAACUUGAAGUUUCCCAAAUGUAUGAGGCAGACUGCUUGGAAAGAAAACUAACUACUCUGGCUUUGACCGUUCAUCCUGGAUCCCACACACUUCAGAGGAACACAAGCGGUAUGCUAAAAUGACUGAGAAAGCAACCACAAGGGCAGCCAAAAAAAGACUGGAAGAACAUGAGAGUCCAAGGUUGUUCAAACAGAUGCAGAGAGAGAGCUUUGGCAGACUGCAACGGUGGAGCUGAUGUCUGAUGAGGAGGAUGCCAUUGUUGACGGAAGGCCAGUGUGGAUUGUGAGGUCUCCAUCUCACAGGAACCCACAACUGUCAGAACUUUGUCAGCAGCUUCAGCGCAGAUUGUAAGCAGACAUGUGCUACACUCUUUUACAUCAUCAGCGUGUUAAGGCUAACGGAAAUGGACAUGAUGGACCUUCAUUUCUUGAACUUUAAACUGCACUGGCUUUGCAGUUUUAAUAACUGCACCACAAAUUGCACAUUUGUUCACUUAUUCUCUUCUGUUUUGUCUUAUUCUUACUCUGUAUACUUAUUAGGUUAGAUUUAUUUAGUUUCAUAUUCUGCAACUUAUUUUUUUUAUAUUCUUUGUG